ACCUCUUCCCAUUCCGAACAGAGAAGUUAAGCCCGGUCACGCCGAUGGUACUGCGUAACAGUGGGAGAGUAGGUAGUCGCCGUUU
Molecule: ribosomal RNA, 85 nt
Filed under: Bacteroides uniformis
Lineage: Bacteria; Pseudomonadati; Bacteroidota; Bacteroidia; Bacteroidales; Bacteroidaceae
Also listed under: 1 other name
Source: RNAcentral